This is a long non-coding RNA of Felis catus (domestic cat), 3302 nucleotides long. RefSeq lists it as uncharacterized. The transcript has 2 exons. The record is from RefSeq and is a predicted model, not a curated record. Lineage: Eukaryota; Metazoa; Chordata; Mammalia; Carnivora; Felidae.
GGACCGCGAGAUCGUGACCUGAGCUGAAGUCGGACACUUAACCGACUGAGCCACCCAGGCGCCCCAACAAAUAAACAUUUAAAACAAAAAACAAAAAGAUACUUGGAGGAAGCAUUCUUCUCUUCCUAGAAUUUAUCAUGAGUUUGAUGACAAAUUUUUUUUUAACCUAUGAAAAUCUUCUGACUUUUAUAAUAGCCUAAUGAUGUGAUUAUAUUAAUUCUAGCUCUGUGUGUGUGUGUGUGUGUGUGUGUGUGUGUGUGUGUAUGUCACAGGUAAUUUCUGAGUGAUCCAGUUGAAACCACAAAAAUGAUAAAAACGAUGGAUAAAAUUAGUACUUCUUUUGCUGGACAGGCAUGAAAAGGAUUCUGCUUGGGCCAAAAAUGAAAUACAAGGAGGCAUUCCAGGAGAUCAACACAAAAGCUGGGUUUUUUUUCCCCUGUUGAUUUUUACCAAAUCCUGGAGACCUAGAACUUCCUCCUUUAGUGGCUGUGCAGGGGGCAGGAGAUAACAGUUCCAUGUCUUGGACACAGGAUUCCUGCAUGAAGCUGGGACCUCAAAAGACAACCCCCCCCCCCCCCAGGGAAAGGGAAGAUGGGAAAUCAACUUACCAUCCAGCUUUCGCCUUGUCACAGAUCUAAAAACUAUAGAAGCACUUGAAUCAUCACUCCAAAGCCAAGCUCCAUUAUGCCAGCCUCCCUCGCCUGGAGGUUGCUCACCACUGUAAGAAGGUGGAUUUGGAGUUGAGAGGAACAAAUUCAUUCCUGGUCAGGAGGGUCAAGAAACACUUCUUAGAUAUUUGAGCUGAGCCUCGAAAUGCAUGCAUAUACACGUAGUGAUUUCAACAAGCAGAGAAUGAGGAAAGGAUUCCUGGUGCAGGGAAAGUGGCAGGAGUGUAGUCAGGGCCAGGCGUAUAGAGGGUCAGCCCCAUGCUCUAGUACAGUGAGCAGGUUCCACUGCCUUCAGAGCAUUGUUCAGAGGUGGGUGGUAGGUUGUUGUUGGGGUUUUUUUUCCUACUUCUGGGAAUCCUUGCCGAUGCAGUAGCAGGUUAUUUACACUUUGAGGGGUAAUUUUAUGAAAAUGUGUUCGCCAGAGAGCUCUCCUUCCUUUCUUGAAUGAAUGUCUGUUUUCUAGAGUCUCAAUUACAGUGAUACUGAAAUUGCACUGUCUUUCCUGGGCCUCAAACUCAAACAAGGUUUAAUUCACCAUAACUGCUAUUUACUUACAACGUGUUACUGUGUCACGAAGUAGACACUCUCCUGUGCACGCCCUGACCCCUGCGGUAAGCAGGUACAGCAGGAAGGCUGCAGGCUCUGACCGUCUGUAAGGAGUUGACCGUCCCAUGGAGAAGGAGGGGGUAAGCCUCUUUAAACAAUUAGAGGAUUAUAAAAUGAUCUUCUGGAGGGGUGCCUGGGUGGCUCAGUUGGUUAAGCAUCUGACUCUUGAUUUCCUCUCAGGUCAUGAUCUCACUGUUUGGGAGUUUGAGGCCCACACCUGGCCCUGCCGUGGCAGCACAGAACCUGCUUGGGAUUCUGUCUCCCACUCUCUGCCCCUCCCCUAUUUGCUCGCUCUCUCUCUCUCUCUCUCUCUCAAAAUAUAUUAAAAAUAAGUAAAAAAUAAAAUUUUAUUGAAGAGGAACUUGGGAUAUACGCUGAAGGAUAAGGGAGAGGAGAGUGUUUUGCUGUGGAUACAGCCAAAAAAAAGUUUAAAGACUCCAAAACAAGAUUGAACAUGGGAUGAAGUGAAAAAGAAUGGGUGAGCGUUGUGAGUGACUACGUGUGUGUGUUACAUACAUGCAUGUGUAAGUGUAGAUACCAGAACAGAGAUGGCAUGGUCCCCAAAAGAUGCUUAACCUCAGGUGGUCUUUGCUGUAGGCAUGUAAUCCAAGGGAGUCGUUCCCACAAGACUCAAAUAGCCACGAGUACUGCCAACCAUGCUUUCUUUUGCUCUCAAAUGAGAGGCUUAAGUCUCUGUCUUCGUGACCCUGUGGAGAACUGGGGUCAUCCCACCCAUCUCCGGGGUGAUGAGAAGAUUCUGCGCACCACCGCUGACCCUUGUACUGCCCGGUCCGGUGAGCGGUCACAUUCGUUUUACUUGUGUCCUAAUUUUAUGGCAGUUAGCAGGUUGACGCUCAUUCAGUCAGCAUUGACUCUCCCUGAAAGCUGAGUACGAAAGGUAAGAUCCACUUGUUCACUCAACAAAAUAUUUACAACGGCCCCACCUUGUAUCAGGCACUGUACUUGCUACUGAGGAUACCAGGAGUGAAUAAAAGAGACGUAUCUUGGUACCCAUGGAGCAUAUGGUGUUGGGGGAUGGGGGGGUGGGGAGGGAAACGUAAGAAGCCACAAAUAAAAGUGCUGUUGCCAUCGUGAUGAGUAGUAUCGGUGACCGAAUGCUAAAAGGGAGAGUCAAGGGAAAUCUUCGUUAGGUGGUGAGGGAAGGCCCCUGAGAACAAGUUGAUGGUUGUGCGGAAAUCUUUUCUUUUUUUUCAAGUACAGUGAUAUUUUUUAUUAUUUUUAUUUUUAUUUUAUUUAUUUAUCUAUUUAUUUGUUUGUUUGUUUGUUUUUGGUUGUGCUGCAAUCUUAAGAAUGAAGAGGGUGCAGCCGGAGAAUAUAUGAGUGGGGGCCAGGGGCUGGGCAGAGGACCGGCCCUGCUAAGGCUCCGAAGCGAGAAGGAGCUAAGUGGUUGAGAACGACACAGUUCCUGUUCUCUUACAUUUUCCGGCGGACACAGACACACAACAUUUACAUUCCGUUGUGACAGGUGACUUUUGGCCUAAAAAGACUCCUGUAGCUUCCUAGACAGCAUUCCACUAUUGAACUUCUGAAAGAGUGUCUUUUAAACGCGAUCCUCAGAUGAUUCAAACUGCUAAUAUUCCCACCUGAUUGCCACAAAACUACACAAUCCUACUUCUCCGCUUAGUGACUCCACACAGACAGCCGAGAAGACCGAUGGCCAUCUGACUGAGCCCACACAUGAGCUCGAGAAUCCCCACAAGCAGCAGGCCCAAGAACACUGAAAAAUGGAUCGUCCUGUGUUUGUUUUCUUUAGAACUGAAGUUCAAGCUAUAGCGUCCACCAUCACUGGCCCUGGUACCACUGAGGGUGGGAUCAGUGACCUCAGCAGGAGCCAUGCAGGACUCUCUGAAGAACCACUGUAGAUUGAAGGAUUCUGGAUGGAUGUUGCUGAAACGCAAGAAAUGAGAGAAGAUAUUCAGGAAUAUCACCAUGAAGAAAGAAUGCAGCAUUGUGCUGUUUCUUACACUCACAGAAAAGGACGAGUAUAAUAAAACACAAGUACCUCGA